This 372-nucleotide ribosomal RNA is filed under the name uncultured bacterium. RNAcentral's name for it is "bacterial SSU rRNA". It matches the Rfam family "Bacterial small subunit ribosomal RNA", at positions 524 to 898 of the family's 1533-position model. The record is from RNAcentral.
UACGGAGGGUGCAAGCGUUAUCCGGAUUCAUUGGGUUUAAAGGGUGCGCAGGUGGGGGCGUAAGUCAGUGGUGAAAUUCUGCCGCUCAACGGUAGGACUGCCAUUGAUACUGCGUUUCUUGAGUAUGGUUGAGGUAGGCGGAAUGUGUCGUGUAGCGGUGAAAUGCAUAGAUAUGACACAGAACGCCGAUUGCGAAGGCAGCUUACUAAGCCAUUACUGACACUGAGGCACGAAAGCGUGGGUAGCGAACAGGAUUAGAUACCCUGGUAGUCCACGCCGUAAACGAUGUUCACUCGCUGUUUGCGAUACACAGCAAGCGGCCGAGCGAAAGCAUUAAGUGAACCACCUGGGGAGUACGAUCGCAAGGUUGAA